This 24-nucleotide ribosomal RNA is filed under the name Lobothallia pruinosa. RNAcentral describes it as "partial 26S ribosomal RNA". Lineage: Eukaryota; Fungi; Ascomycota; Lecanoromycetes; Pertusariales; Megasporaceae. The record is from RNAcentral.
UGACCUCGGAUCAGGUAGAUCCAU